Molecule: long non-coding RNA, 1292 nt
Filed under: Homo sapiens (human)
Lineage: Eukaryota; Metazoa; Chordata; Mammalia; Primates; Hominidae
Description: HSALNT0379670
Source: RNAcentral
GGCCCACUGGCUUGCCUCACUGUGGUUGGUGGUGGCGGUGACAGAGACUGCAGCAUGACCAGAGUGGCUUUUCUGGCUUUGCCCGCCCAGCUGCUCCAUGCCAGGAGGAGGAGGAGACACCUAGAGCCUGCAACACCACGGCUCGCCUCGCUACAGGUGGGUGGCAGUGACGGAGACUGCAGUGCACCAGAGCGUCAGUUCUAGAGUGUAUGAAGAACCAAAUGAUGUAAUUGUAUGCGACCUGGCUGUAGUGGAACAAAUUUGACUCUAAAGUAUGCAGGCUCUAAUUUUCCUGUCUGGUUUUGUCUAGGGAGAUGACUCAUCAGAAAAAGAAGAAAAAAGAGGUAUUUGGAAAUUGUGCAAAUUAAAGCAGCCCCUGAUGCCAAAGUCUACACAUUCCUGAGUGAGUCAGUUCUGGCCAGUUCUAGCUGGAUCAAGAGAGCUCUGCUGGGCAGGCCUGAAGAGCACCUGGAUGGCAGACACCUGAGGAGCCAGGUGCCUGAAACUUCCUCCACCUACUUGAGGAGUGCCAAAGCCCAGGUGCUGGCUGGACAACCCCUUCUGGCUGCCUAAGCAGAUGGCAGAAGAAGGAAACAAGCCCCCACAUCACCCAACCAACCAGCAGAGAUCCUCCUUCCCAAGAAACAGAUAAAGAAACUGAGGCCCAGGAAGGCUAAGAGUCCUGCCAGGAUUAUUCACCUUUCAAGCAGCCAAGCAAGCACUGGCUGUGAGAGAUGGCUGUGAGAGAAGAUUAAAACAAUUACAACUCACCCAGUUCACAGAUGCUGAGUAACUGAUCUCCUGCCCCACUAACCUUAACGACAGCUUUCUCUGGACAAGGGACUGAUUUCAGUAACUUUCUCCUGAUAAGAGACCAUCCUCCAUGGACUGGUUCUGGCCAGUUUUAGAGGCUGUGCCUUUACGAGGCUGAGUACCUUCAUGUCCCUGCUUCACUUUUUGAUGUGUAGGGCCUAAUUAUAAUACAUUUAAAUGUCAAGUCUCCACCCCAGAAUGAACAUGCAUGUUUAUUGAAUAUGCAUGUGUUAGGACCUCUUUUAUGAGUAUUCUCAUAAAAUGAUAUAGCUCCUCUGAUAUCCUAUUGAGUAUGUAUAUGUAGCCAACUCAUUUGGCUCAAAUUCCUGUCCUCUCCCUCCCUCCCUGGAAAUGCCUGCCUCUGGCCUUGGCUGUAGGCCACACUUCCCAGCCUGUCAUAAUGGCCACCUUGCAGACUGCAAACCUUUAUAAGAAAUAAAGCUCUCUUUUCUAAAUUUAUAAAAUUGUGUGAUUUUUCA